RNAcentral lists this ribosomal RNA (195 nucleotides) under uncultured bacterium. RNAcentral describes it as "partial 16S ribosomal RNA". It matches the Rfam family "Bacterial small subunit ribosomal RNA", at positions 338 to 524 of the family's 1533-position model. The record is from RNAcentral.
CCUACGGGAGGCAGCAGUAGGGAAUCUUCCGCAAUGGACGAAAGUCUGACGGAGCAACGCCGCGUGAGUGAUGAAGGUUUUCGGAUCGUAAAGCUCUGUUGUUAGGGAAGAACAAGUACCGUUCAAAUAGGGCGGCACCUUGACGGUACCUAACCAGAAAGCCACGGCUAACUACGUGCCAGCAGCCGCGGUAAU